RNAcentral lists this ribosomal RNA (253 nucleotides) under uncultured bacterium. RNAcentral describes it as "partial 16S ribosomal RNA". It matches the Rfam family "Bacterial small subunit ribosomal RNA", at positions 524 to 776 of the family's 1533-position model. The record is from RNAcentral.
UCCGUAGGGGGCAAGCGUUGUCCGGAAUCAUUGGGCGUAAAGCGCGUGUAGGCGGCUCGGUAAGUCUGCUCUGAAAGUCCAAGGCUCAACCUUGGGAUGCGGGUGGAUACUGCCGGGCUCGAGUCCGGAAGAGGCGAGUGGAAUUCCUGGUGUAGCGGUGAAAUGCGCAGAUAUCAGGAGGAACACCAAUGGCGAAGGCAGCUCGCUGGGACGUGACUGACGCUGAGGCGCGAAAGCGUGGGGAGCAAACAGG